UGGUGGAGUGAUUUGUCUGCUUAAUUGCGAUAACGAACGAGACCUUAACCUGCUAAAUAGCCCGGCUGGCGUCUGCCGGCCGCUGGCUUCUUAGAGGGACUAUCGGCUCAAGCCGAUGGAAGUUUGAGGCAAUAACA
Molecule: ribosomal RNA, 137 nt
Filed under: uncultured eukaryote
Lineage: Eukaryota
Description: partial 18S ribosomal RNA
Rfam family: Eukaryotic small subunit ribosomal RNA
Source: RNAcentral